RNAcentral lists this ribosomal RNA (253 nucleotides) under uncultured bacterium. Its description in RNAcentral is "partial 16S ribosomal RNA". It matches the Rfam family "Bacterial small subunit ribosomal RNA", at positions 524 to 776 of the family's 1533-position model. The record is from RNAcentral.
GACGAACCGAGCGAACGUUGUUCGGAAUCACUGGGCUUAAAGGGCGCGUAGGCGGCGAUUCAAGUCUGGGGUGAAAGCCUUCGGCUUAACCGGAGAAGUGCCUUGGAUACUGGAUCGCUCGAGGGGGAUAGGGGCAUGCGGAACUUCCGGUGGAGCGGUGAAAUGCGUAGAUAUCGGAAGGAACGCCGGUGGCGAAAGCGGCAUGCUGGGUCCCUUCUGACGCUGAGGCGCGAAAGCCAGGGGAGCAAACGGG